UUGCUUAAGGCAAAGUUUCUUGUGGUUACAGGGAUCAAAACUUGCACUUUGUGGAAUCUCCUGCACUUGCUCCUCCUGAAGUCCAAAUCGAUUUGGCUGCACAGCAUCUGCAUGAAGCUGAGCUCGCUGCAGCUGCCAGUCAGCCAUUGCCUGAUGACGACGAUGAUGCCUUCGAGUAAAAGCUUUCAAUUAGAAGGAUCCUUGUGUGGUGCAUUCCUUUGAUGGCCAAAUUAUUUUCUUGUUAUUUUGGGAUUGUCAAGCUUUUCCAUCCCGGAUUCAAGUUCCUAAUGUAGGGGUUUCUCAUUCUUGAUAGAUUGUGAUUUUGGAUUUGCUUGGGGGGAAGAUCCUAGUUGUACGACUCAGUUCACAUGGAUGAGAGAUUUUUAUGGUUAAUGCUCACUUCCGAUUUGCUUC
Olea europaea var. sylvestris is the source of this 414-nucleotide long non-coding RNA. RefSeq lists it as uncharacterized. NCBI's taxonomy places the organism in Eukaryota, Viridiplantae, Streptophyta, Magnoliopsida, Lamiales, Oleaceae. The record is from RefSeq and is a predicted model, not a curated record. The transcript has 2 exons.